CAGCAGCCGCGGGAAUACGGAGGGGGCUAGCGUUGUUCGGAAUUACUGGGCGUAAAGCGCACGUAGGCGGCUUUGUAAGUUAGAGGUGAAAGCCUGGAGCUCAACUCCAGAAUUGCCUUUAAGACUGCAUCGCUUGAAUCGCGGAGAGGUGAGUGGAAUUCCGAGUGUAGAGGUGAAAUUCGUAGAUAUUCGGAAGAACACCAGUGGCGAAGGCGGCUCACUGGACGCGUAUUGACGCUGAGGUGCGAAAGCGUGGGGAGCAAACAGGAUUAGAGACCCCAGUAGUCCCUGUCUCUUAUAC
Molecule: ribosomal RNA, 301 nt
Filed under: uncultured bacterium
Lineage: Bacteria
Description: partial 16S ribosomal RNA
Rfam family: Bacterial small subunit ribosomal RNA
Source: RNAcentral